GUUGUUCAAGAGGCACACAACUGUGAUACUUUCCCCCAGUGGGUUUUUUUCCCUAGGAAAAAAAGUGCCAGAACUCAUUGUCUCAGUCGCCAAUGCAGGCGCCAUCUUGAAACCAAAAUCACGUGACCAAAUGCCAGGCUACAUCCAGUGGCGGAGAGCAGGUGGGGGCGGGGCUGGUGUGCGCCGCCCGCAGGGGUGUGGCACCCAGCAUGGGCAGGGGGUAGCCAUGAUGGCACCCUACCAGGAUCGUGCUGUCGGGGACGGUGCGCUCCCCCCCCCACUCCUCUUCCUCCGCCACUGGCUACAUCUUACAGGGAGAUUCAGAUUGUCCCUCCCCCAGCGCCUUUGCUCAUUAACGGGGAGCAAGGCGCACAUGUACUCUUCUAGGCUGCAACUUGAAAUCCUGUUGUUUUAUACCCUUGUUCCUUUGCGGCCGACUUACAGUGCAAAGCCUUUGAAGCAGAGGUACUUGGUGGUCACAGCCAUCCAGUGCAGACCCCCCAGAUUGCACAUGGCCAUGGCAGCAGCUGGCCAUGACCUCCUCCAGCCUCUGAGCAUGCACCCCUGUGUCAUCCUGGCCCGCCCUGCGCAGGCACCCCCGGAAGGGCAAGCCUCAGCUGUUAGCUCUCUGCAUCACAGUGCAACUGGGGUGACCAGCAUGCGUUGUUCCUUGGCUCCUGCUGACCGCUUGGAGACUGACCGUGGUUUUUGCGGACAAGCAGCAGAAUCAUUGUCAGUAGACCUGCUCUCAAUGGUGCCCAGCUGAGAGGUGCCAGAGCUUUUUUCACAGCAAUCCCCCCCCAUCUCUCUCCCUCCCUCUCUCUCUCUCUCUCUCUCUCUCUCUCUCUCUCUCUGAUAACAAUUGGUAUUAGUUUUCAAUUAUAAUAAUCCAAUAAUAGCCUCAUUAUAUCAAUGCCAAAUUGCAAUACAAUUCCCAAUAUCAAUCAUUCAGAUACCCAAUUACAUAAUUUAGGUGGCCCCACACAUGCUAGAAUUGAUGGUUCGGUGAUUUACUUUAUUUCUGCAUUCCAAAAUUGUACUGAUUUCAGUUGCAUUCCUGUCAUAAUAGUAAUCCCUUAUACAACAGCUGCAAUAUUUAUAGCUUCUAUUUGUAUUGACACAUUUGAUGAUUUGUAAGUCUACAAAUGAAGAUCUGUAUCCUUGAUCUUCCUUUUCACAGCAAUUGAUCCAGGCCCAGCGUAUCAACUGGUUGCCUGCAUGUAUGAACGAACCACCAUCCUUAAAUGCCAUUGAAAAGCAUUUUAUACUGAUGUUUACCUGCAGUUUACCUGAUGUUACCAACAAUGAGAAUAGUUAUGAAACGUUCCUCACAAUAGCCGUUUGUGCAUGUGUUACCUUGAAUCUGGACAAUAAAUGUCACCUACGUGGGUAAAAAGGGAAAAGUCCCCAAAGUGCUACUGUGAAUUCGUCCUCGAAUUACACUUGCCGGCUUGACAAUCCCACAUUGUAGUUUUCAUAUCCACUAAAGCAGGGAUCAGCGAACUUUUUCACCAGGGGGCCAGUCCAUUGUCCCUCAGACCUUGUGGGGGGCUGGGCUAUAUUUUGAAAAUAAAAAUAAAAAUGAACAAAUUCCUAUGCCCCACAAAUAACCCAGAGAUGCAUUUUGAAUAAAAGCACACAUUCUACUCAUGUAAAAACACCAGGCAGGCCCCACAAAUAACCCAGAGGUGUAUUUUAAAUAAAAGGACACAUUCUACUCAUGUAAAAACACGCUGAUUCCCGGACCGUCUGCAGGCCGGAUUUAGAAGGCAAUUGGGCCAGAUCUGGCCCCCGGGCCUUAGUUUACCUAAAGGUAAAGGUAAAGGUACCCCUGCCCGUACAGGCCAGUCGUGUCCGACUCUAGGGUUGCGUGCUCAUCUCGCUCAAGAGGCCGUGAGCCGGCGCCAUCCGAAGACACUUCUGGGUCACGUGGUCAGCGUGACGAAGCUGCAGCUGGUGAGCCAGCACCAGCGCAGCACACGGAAACGCCGUUACCUUCCCGCUACUUGCACUUAAAGAUGCUUUCGAACUGCUAGGUGGGCUCAUGGACUAAAGGGACACUCUAUUUGCUGAUAUACAGUUCCUCUGGGGAUGUGCUUCAUGGCUUUCACUUACUGUUUUUAUUGUCUUCAUUUCUUGAUCCCUGACACUCUGUGUUUAUAUUUAUAUGAGGAUGAUACUUGAUUUACUGACAGGGUGGGAGGAAAAUGGCAUGACAAAUAUCCCUCUUUCCAGGAGGAAACAAAAAGUGUGUCUGUAGUCUCUGCAUCCAAACAAGUGAUACAUGGCGGGGCCAGCUGGACGAAAUCUCUGCACUUAGUUUCUACAUUUUAUUCCCGUAAAUAUUGUGUUUUGAACAAACAAAUGGAAAUUUAUCUGAAGAUUGAUACUAAUGUUCUAGAGUUAAGACAUAUUAUGCAAUAAAAUGUGAUUCAUAAGAUAGAAAUUCACCGUAUUCUCUGAUAGACCCCCAACAGCUGACUUAUCUUGCCUGGGAAUCUAGCACAUCUCUUAAAAUGUUCCCCUUUUAAAGGAUGGGACUUGAACACUUUGACCUAGAAAAUAGCAUGUUUUGCUGCUAAAGCUAGGUCCUAUCUUCUUCAUGCGUGUUCAUUUCGCUGUACAUUGUUGCUUUCGUUUGUCAGGGAAAUUAUUAGAAAUACUUUGCGCAGAAUUUGCUCUCCAGCCGAUUUAGGGGUACAGUGCAGCACUUGUGAGGGGCAGCAGUUGCAUGUGGUAAUGUGCCCUCAUAGCUCCGCACAGUAGGAAUGGGUUCGAAGAGGGGCUGGUCCAUCAUUUUUGCAGCAAUUACAUAGCCAAGAGAAUUGAGAGAGUUGCGAUCUUGACCCAAAUUCUACCCCAGUACGAAUGCAUUGCAUAUCAUAGAAUUGUAGAGUUGGAAGGAGCCAAAUGGUCAUGAAGUCCAACCCCCUGCACUGUAGGAAUCUCAGCUAAAGCAUCCAUGACAGAUGGAAACCCAACCUCUGUUUAAAAACUUCCAAGGAAGGAAAGUCCACAACCUCAUGAAGGACAACGCUACAUUGUGAAACAGCUCUUUACUGUCAGAAAAUGCUUCCUGGUUUUUAGCCAGAAUCUCCUUUCUUGUAACUUGAAGGCAUUGGGUCAAGUCCUCCCCUCCAGAGCAGGAGAAAACAAGUUUGUUCCCUCUUCCAUGUGACAGCACUUGAGAUAUUUGAAGAGGGCUAUCAUAUGCUUUCAGUCUCCUCUUUUCCAGGCUAAACAUACCCAGCUCCUUCAACCGUUUCUCAUCAGGCUUGGUUUCCAGACCUUUGAUUAUUUUGGCUGCCCUCCUCUGCACACGUUCCAGCUUGUCAAAAACCUUCUUAAAUUGUGGUGCCCAGAAUUGGACACAGUGCUGCAGGUGGGGUCUAACCAAGGCAGAAUAGAAUGGUACUCUUACUUCCCUUGACCUGGACAGUAUACUUCUGUUGAUGCAGCCUAGAAUAGUGUUUUUUGGUGUGUGUGGUUUUUCUUUGCAAGAACUCAUUGCUGUGCACAUUCACAAACAACUAGUAGGCACCUGCUUUGUUAGUGUUGAAAUGCUUCUUAUGUUACAAAAUAUGGACAUGUGAAUAUUCACUUCCAUGCCUGAUAAUCUGAUGUUUGAAAACAACAUGAACAUUCUCCCAGAGAAUGUAAGAUUGAUAAAGACAAAGAGCUUUACAUUUUUAGCCUUUGUCCCAGUGGCCAUGAAUACCUGUAGUUUUACAGAACCAUAUUCUUCAUUAUGGUGGUACCUUGGUUCUCAAACUUAAUCUGUUCCGGAAGUCUGUUCCAAAACCAAAGCGUUCCAAAAGCAAGGCAUGCUUUCCUGUAGAAAGUAAUGCAAAAUGAAUUAAUCCGUUCCAUAUUUUUAAAAACAAACAGCAAUUGAACAUGAAUUUUACUAUCUAAUGAGACCAUUGAUAAGUAAAUAGCAAAACCAGACAGACCUCAGUGUAACACUCGAAACGGAAGCGUAACAUUCAAAAUGGAGCACGUUCGGCUUCCAAAAAAAGUUCACAAACCGGAACCCUUACUUCCGGGUUUGCAGUGUUUGGGUUCCAAGUUGUUUGAGUACCAAGGAAUUUGAGAACCAAGGUACCACUGUAUAGCCACCCAAAAACUUGUGAUGAGUAUAGCAACAUAUUAGUGUUCUCCAUGUUGGGAAUGCAUGAUCUGCUCCCAGAGCAGGGCAGACUGCUGGAAUGCUUUGCACAAGUUCUCCAUUGUUCACAUUGUACAGCUAGACCAUCUUCAGUUCUUUCUUACAGUUCAAUAAUAGCAGCCAAUCCAUUUCCUUCUUAAUGACCUGGAAUCGAGGUUUGCUGGGAUUUCCCUGUCCCCACCACCACACAGCAGAGUUUUAAAGCAGCAUAUUACUGAAAGAAGCAAGGGGAGGCUUCAUCACAGAGGAUGAGGGCAGGGUGCGAUGUCGGGAAUGAGGUUUCUUUUUCUCCCUCCAGGGUUCUUAAGUCUGGAGUAUUUUGUUCCUUCCACCUGUGGGGUGUGUCUAAAAGAAUCUCUAUUGUGGGUCACACCCAUUGGAUUGAGAAACAUUGCUCUAAGCUACCAACCUGUCAAAGUUGUUGUUCUCAUCUGCUUCCCUCCCCCCACCCCUAAUUUCUGGAUUAUUUUCUUAGUUCGUUUUCUUCCUGUAGCAGAUUUCCAGCUGCUGAUGCUCAAAACCCAACAUUACAUUUUCAAAAUAAAAUUGUAAAUACAGGAUCUCUAUUUAAGGCGCCGGGAGGUUCUCUAUCAUGUCAAUGGCUAGGAGGUUGAAAAUUUUAAACAGAUUUGCCACUUCUUUUUCACUUUAAGGACUUGGUAAAGUAAGAAAUUGGUAAAGUCCAUUGUCAGGCAGAGAAGAAUACAGUGAAGGGGGGGAAAGUAAAAUAUGCCCCCCUCCAUGUUUGAUGGUGGGGAUGGUGUUCUUGGGGUUGUGGGCAGCAUUCCUCCUCCUUCAAACACGGCGAGUUGAGUUGAUGCCAAAGAGCUCAAUUUUGGUCUCAUUUGACCACAACACUUUCACCCAGUUCUCCUCUGGGUAAUUCAGAUGUGCAUUGACAAACUGCAGACAGGCCUGUACAUGUGCUGUCUUGAGCAAGGGGACCUUGCGGGCUCUGCAAGAUCUCAGUCCUUCACAGCGUAGUGUGUUACCAACUGUUUUCAUGGUGACUAUGGUCCCAGCUGCCCUAAGAUCAUUGAAAAGUCCCCCCCCCCCCCCGUGCAGUUCUGGGCUGCUUCAUCACCGUUCUCAUGAUCAUUGCAACUCCACAAGAUGAGAUCUUGCAUGGAGCCCCAGACCGAGGGAGAUUGACAGUUAUUUUGUGUUUCUUCCAUUUGUGAAUUAUUGCACCAACUGUUGUCACCUUCUCACCAAGCUGCUUGGCAAUAGUCCUGUAGUCCAGUCCAGCCUUGUGCAGGUCUACAAUCUUGUCCCUGACAUCCUUGGACAGCUCUUUGGUCUUGGUCAUAGUCAUGGUGGCUACUUUGGAAUCGGCUGGAUUGAUUGCUUCUGUCAACAGGUGUCUUUUAUACAGGAACUGUAACGAGCUGGGAUUACAGGUAAGACCUCUCCCUUGCAUCAGGUGCUCCUAAUCUCAGCUCGUUACAUACAGUGAAGAUACCAGAUAGCCUGACAUCUGGCUGGUUGAUAGGGGAUCAAAUACUUAUUUCACUCGUUAUAAUGCACAUCAAUCUCUGACUUUUGUCUUCUGGGUUUCUGGGGUUUUUCCUGUUGAUAUUCUGUCUCUCACAGCUACAGUAAACCUACCAUUAAAAUUAUGGACUGGUCAUUUCUUCAUCAUUGGGCAAACGGGCAAAUUUAGCAGGGGAUCAAAUACUUUCCCCCCUCACUGUAGAUGGAGGCAGGAUCCAGAGCAAGAAAGGAGGAUCUUUAUUUUUUGAUUGCAACAGGGUUCCCCCCCAUUGCAAAGGGGUGAGAACCCAGAGCAAAGAUUUCAGAAAUUGCCCAACUCCUUAGCCAAAGGCCACCUCAAAAGCAUCAUACAUACAACAGAAAUUUGAGAGUGUGGCUUGCUUCCAGGCUGACAAGAUACCAAAUAAUGGUCACUGAUCACAUUACCUGGGCAGUCUGGCCAUUAUUUUGAGAUGGUAAAUACUUUAGUUCUUGAAUCCAGGUCACUAGCAUACCCGAUUCAUACCAAAAAUACGCCCUUAAGACAGGAUUUAAAGGAUUUGUAAGUGAAAGAACUAUUGGGAAAGGUUUCUCCAAGAUAUUUCCUUCUGCAGAGGAAAUAUUUAGAGUCAUUAGGAGAGCCAAGAUGGCUUGGGGGAUUGUUCUGUGUGCUAGUAUAAAGUGUAAUUUUCACAGGGAAUAUUUCCUAAAUUUUGAAGGGCAAAGGAUUGGUUUCCUGCAGAGUGUGUGUCUCCUAUGUGUGCACACCUUAAUUUUAUAACAGUGGGUGACAAAAGAAGGUGACAGAUUCAAAAAGCACCCAAUUCAAGCCAGAAAUGAUGAGCUGGGACCACACUUAAGAGUACAGUCCCAAUUCUUCCUUUGCAGCUGUGGCUUGAGUUAAAGCUAAGACAGCAAAACAGGAAGGAAGGGUUUACAUUUUAAUCACCUGAUGUCACAUGUCGUCAGGCCCUACAUCUGUCAAAUUGGCCUACCUUCCAUUCCCCACCCCUGGUUAAUAAACACAAGAGGCUAUUGUUUCACAUGUGUUUCCCUAUUAUCUAACAUCAUUCGUCUCAGUUGAUAUCAGUAACUUUCAGCAAGAGAGAUUCUACUUGGAUCAGAUCAUGCACUGUUUGAGAGACUGCUGGAAGUACAACUGCCCUGGGUUCCUAGCCUGCAUAUCAGUGACUGUUCCAGCAAACUGAGAAGUAUCCCUAGGUUGGAGAAGUUGUUUAGGGAGGCAGAAAUAAGUCUGUCUCAGGACAACAAAUAUGCAGCCGCUGUGAAAGGAAGCAAAAGCCUGAGAUUCCUUCCGUGAGAACAGGAUGAAUUAGAAGUAGAAUGCAUGUGUCAUAAGGGAGGGGAUGUGAAGGCUUGUAACUGAAGCCGAACUGUCACCUGGUACGAGUUCUGCCAUAAAAAAAAGGGUGUGGCAGAAUUACUACUAAGUCCAAUUGCAGACACAUACGCCUCUGUAUCUUAGUUGCUGGUAGUCAUAGGAACAUAGGAAGCUACAGAAUCAGACCAUCAGGUUCAGCUGGCUUAGUAUUGUCCAUGCUGACCAUCAGUGACUUUCUGGGGUUUCAGAAAGUGUUGUUUCCAAGUCCUACCUGGAGAUUCCAGGGAUUGAAUUUGGGAUCUUCUGCAUGGAAAGCUCUACCAAUGAGCUAUGGCCCUUCCACACUGGAGAAGAAGAAGAAGAAGAAGAAGAAGAAGAAGAAGA
Molecule: non-coding RNA, 7367 nt
Organism: Podarcis lilfordi (Lilford's wall lizard)
Lineage: Eukaryota; Metazoa; Chordata; Lepidosauria; Squamata; Lacertidae
Source: the annotation of a GenBank genome assembly